NNNNNNNNNNCCUGCCAGUAGUGAUAUGCUUGUCUUAAAGACUAAGCCAUGCAUGUAUCAGUACAAGCCUAACUAAGGUGAAACCGCGAAUGGCUCAUUAAAUCAGUUAUGAUUUACUGGCCGAGACAGUGAUACAUGGAUAACUGUGGUAAUUCUAGAGCUAAUACAUGCAACCGAGCCCCAGUCCGGCGCCUCGGCGACGGCGGGGCGCUUUUAUUGGCUGAAAACCGAUGUCUGCCCUCACGGGCGGUCGUUAUUCGAUGAGUCACAAUAACAUUGUGUGGAUCGUACGGUCCUGUACCGACGACGCGCCUUUCAAAUAUCUGCCUUAUCAGCUCUCGACGGUUGGCUAGUGGCUGACCGUGGCACUGACGGGUAACGGGGAAUCUGGGUUCGAUUCCGGAGAGGGAGCCUGAGAGAUGGCUACCACAUCUAAGGAAGGCAGCAGGCGCGUAACUUACCCACUCCCAGUUCAGGGAGGUAGUGACAAUAAAUACCUUACAGAGGUCUCGUUAACCGAGAUCUCUCAAACGGAAUGAGUACAACGUGAAUCCUUUAACGAGGAUCGACUGGAGGGCAAGCCUGGUGGCAGGAGGCGCGGUAAUUCCAGCUCCAGUAGCGUAUAUUAAAGCUGUUGCGGUUAAAAAGCUCGUAGUUGGAUAUCAGUGUGGUNCAGCACGACAUGCCCGGUGCGUUAUGGCGUUCUCGCGAUGACGUCCGGGCUCCCAAAUGUCGUCUGGCUACAUUCAAUGGCGUCGGACUCGGCGGCCGUACUUCGGUGGGGCCUGCCGGCGACCGGCGGUGUUACCUUGAACAAAUUAGAGUGCUCAAAGCAGGCUCUCAAUGGCUGUAUNCAUAUUCAUGGAAUUGGAGAAUACGUCCCUGGCUCGAUUUGGUUGGUUUUGAGAGUCGAAGGGAAAUNAUUAAUAGGGACUGACGGAGGCAUUCGUAUUGCGACGCGAGGGGUGAAAUCCUGUGACCNUCGCGCGACGAACUACUGCGAAAGCAUUUGCCGAGAAUGUUUUCAUUAGUCAAGAACGAAAGUUAGAGGUUCGAAGACGAUCAGAUACCGCCCUAGUUCUAACCGUAAACGAUGUCGACCAGCAAUCCGCAACGGUCACUCAAAGGACUGUGCGGGCAGCUUUCCCGGAGAAAUCAGAGUGUUCGGACUCCGGGGGAAGUAUGGUUGCAAAGCUGAAACUUAAAGGAAUUGACGGAAGGGCACCACCAGNAGUGGAGCUUGCGGCUUAAUUUGACUCAACACGGGACAACUNACCAGGCCCGGACACCGUAAGGAUUGACAGACUGAUAGCUCUCCCUUGAUNCAGUGGGUGGUGGUGCAUGGCCGUUCUUAGUUGGUGCACUGAUUUGUCUGGUUUAUUCCGAUAACGAACGAGACUCUGUCCUAUUAAACUUGAUGCCACCANUCCUUAUGUGACUGGGGUAUGCUUCUUAGAGGGAUCAUCGGCGUCCCAGCCGAAGGAAAGGGAGCAAUAACAGGUCUGUGAUGCCCUUAGAUGUUCUGGGCUGCACGCGUGUUACACUGAAGUGGUCAGCGCGCCGUUCAACGUCCCGCUCCGAGAGGAGUGGGCAAACGUUUGAACCCUUUUCGUGAUGGGAAUUGGGGGUUGCAAUUGUCCCCCAUGAACGAGGAAUUCCAAGUAAGCGCAGGUCACUAGCCUGCGUUGAUUAAGUCCCUGCCCUUUGUACACACCGCCCGUCGCUACUACCGAUGGAUGAUUUGGUGAGGUCGCCUAGACUGGCCACUGGCUUCGGCCGUGUGNCCGGGAAGACGCCCAAACUUGGUCGUCUAGAGGAAGUAAAAGUCGUAACAAGGUUUCCGUAGGUGAACCUGCGGAAGGAUCAUUA
Molecule: ribosomal RNA, 1869 nt
Filed under: Lepas anatifera
Lineage: Eukaryota; Metazoa; Arthropoda; Thecostraca; Lepadidae
Description: SSU rRNA
Rfam family: Eukaryotic small subunit ribosomal RNA
Source: RNAcentral